GGCGGCGUGCUUAACACAUGCAAGUCGAGUGCGCAGCUUUCUGUAGCAAUACAGGAAGUCGGCGCACGGCGCACGGGUGCGUAACACGUGGGCAACCUGCCCUUUGGAUGGGGGAUACCCCCGCGAAAGCGGGACUAAUACCGCAUGAUAUUCAGAAGACCUUGGUCUUUUGACUCAAAGCCCGCAAGGGCGUCUAAGGAGGGGCCCGCGCCCGAUUAGCUAGUUGGUGAGGUAACGGCUCACCAAGGCUUUGAUCGGUAGCCGGUCUGAGAGGAUGGCCGGCCACACUGGAACUGAGACACGGUCCAGACUCCUACGGGAGGCAGCAGUGGGGAAUAUUGCGCAAUGGGCGAAAGCCUGACGCAGCGACGCCGCGUGGGGGAUGAAGCUUCUCGGAGUGUAAACCCCUUUCGACCCGGACGAAUGACCC
Molecule: ribosomal RNA, 430 nt
Filed under: uncultured Acidobacteriota bacterium
Lineage: Bacteria; Pseudomonadati; Acidobacteriota
Description: bacterial SSU rRNA
Rfam family: Bacterial small subunit ribosomal RNA
Source: RNAcentral